RNAcentral lists this ribosomal RNA (516 nucleotides) under uncultured microorganism. RNAcentral's name for it is "bacterial SSU rRNA". It matches the Rfam family "Bacterial small subunit ribosomal RNA", at positions 9 to 520 of the family's 1533-position model. The record is from RNAcentral.
GAGUUUGAUCAUGGCUCAGAUUGAACGCUGGCGGCAGGCCUAACACAUGCAAGUCGAGCGGAUGAAGGGAGCUUGCUCCUGGAUUCAGCGGCGGACGGGUGAGUAAUGCCUAGGAAUCUGCCUGGUAGUGGGGGAUAACGUCCGGAAACGGGCGCUAAUACCGCAUACGUCCUGAGGGAGAAAGUGGGGGAUCUUCGGACCUCACGCUAUCAGACGAGCCUAGGUCGGAUUAGCUAGUUGGUGGGGUAAAGGCCUACCAAGGCGACGAUCCGUAACUGGUCUGAGAGGAUGAUCAGUCACACUGGAACUGAGACACGGUCCAGACUCCUACGGGAGGCAGCAGUGGGGAAUAUUGGACAAUGGGCGAAAGCCUGAUCCAGCCAUGCCGCGUGUGUGAAGAAGGUCUUCGGAUUGUAAAGCACUUUAAGUUGGGAGGAAGGGCAGUAAGUUAAUACCUUGCUGUUUUGACGUUACCAACAGAAUAAGCACCGGCUAACUUCGUGCCAGCAGCCGCCG